AACUUUUAGCAAUGGAUCACUUGGUUCUCGCAUCGAUGAAGAACGCAGCGAAUUGCGAUAUGUAAUGUGAAUUGCAGAAUUAAGUGAAUCAUCGAAUCUUUGAAAGCACCUUGCGCCCUUUGGUAUUCCGAAGGGCAUGCCUGUUUGAGUGUGAUUAAAUUCUCAACUUCAAAAUGCUUUGUUUUGAAGCUUGGACUUUGGAGGUCUUUUUGCCGGCAUCACUGUCAGCUCCUCUUAAAUGCAUUAGCGGAACUUUAUUCAAGGACCAGCUUUGGUUUGAUAAUCCUAUCUAUGCCGUCGCUGUGGACUUUUUUGUUCAGCUUCUAAUGGUCUUCGGACUGUCUCUUACGAGGCAUACACUUUUAAGCUUGACCUCAAAUCAGGUAGGACUACCCGCUGAACUUAAGCAUAUCAAUAAGCGGAGGCU
This 427-nucleotide unclassified non-coding RNA is filed under the name uncultured Agaricales. RNAcentral's name for it is "sequence contains ITS2". The stretch from base 1 to 154 matches the Rfam family "5.8S ribosomal RNA". Lineage: Eukaryota; Fungi; Basidiomycota; Agaricomycetes; Agaricales. The record is from RNAcentral.